Long non-coding RNA from Neopelma chrysocephalum (saffron-crested tyrant-manakin), 1464 nucleotides. RefSeq lists it as uncharacterized. Lineage: Eukaryota; Metazoa; Chordata; Aves; Passeriformes; Pipridae. The record is from RefSeq and is a predicted model, not a curated record. The transcript has 3 exons.
GGCGCUCGGGGGGCACCCCCAGCCCCCGCCCGCCCCCCCCGCCCCGGUCGCCCCGCGACCCCUUCGCUGAGUUGUAUCAACUCCCCCAGAGCCGCCUCCAGGACGCCUUCCGCCAAGCCGGAAGCCAGCGCGCCCCGUCGUUCUGAACUAAGUCUGUGACGCGACUUGCCCCCAGUAUGGCAUAUUGUCAUUGUCACCCCGGCCCGGAGCCGCCGUCCCCCCCGGCCCCCGGCCGUGCCCCCUCCCCCCGCCGCCCCCCCCCGGGGCCUUUCGUGCUAAUUUAACUCGUAACGAGUCUCUAAGGUAAUUGGGGGGGGGCUGGUGGCCCCCCCCUCCCCGAAACCCGGACGCCUGGGGCCCGUCCCUCGUGUCCCCCGUCCCCGCCCCCCACUCCGGGACCCGUCCCCAAAUUUUGGGUCAGUGGGGUGGCUUGGACCCACCUGUAGGAGCCUGUGGCCCCCCCUUCCCCCCUCCCCCCCCGAGUGUCCCUGUCCCUCGUCACCCACCUCGUCCCUGUCACCCGCCCUGUCCUCGUCCCCCACCUCGGGGUCUGCGUUUUUGGCAGAGUCCCCCCCAAAAAGUCUGUAUCCCCCCCCCCCAUGGGUGUUGUCCCCCCAUGUCCCCAACCCAAGGGACCGAGGCACGAUGUGGCUUGAUGUCCCCAAUGUCCCCAACGUCCCCAAUGACCCCGGGCUGAGUGAUGUCCCGAUGUCCCCAACGUCCCCAACUCACGGGGCUGAGGCACAAUGUGGCUCGAUGUCCCCGGUGUCCCCAACCCAGGGAGUGGGGACAGGCCAUGACCUGAUGUCCCCAAUGUCCCCAGUCUGGCGCCAGUUACCCCAAAGCCAUUGGGCUGGGACAGGUCAUGGCUCGAUGUCCCCGAUGUCCCCAACACACCCCAAGGGACUGUGAGACAUCAUGGCCCGAUGUCCCCAAUAUCCCCAACCUGAGGGACUGAGACACAUCGUGGCUCAGUGUCCCCAAUGUCCCCGACACCCCCAGUGCCCCCGACACCCCCAGUGUCCCCAAAGCCCCUCGAUGUCCCCGAUGUCCCCCACGUCCCCCCCCGCCAAGACGUCGAGAUCCGUCGCGGCGCGACGACACCGAGCCCGAGGGACGGAGACUCGUCACCGCUCGACGUCCCCGAGGUCCCCGAGGGCCACGGGCACCCCGUCACCGCUCGAUGUCCCCGGCGUGUCCCCGAAGGACGAGGACACCACCUGAACGGACUGAGACCCGUCCCGGCCCGAGGGACAGAGACAACCUGUGACUGAUGUCCCCAAUGUCCCCAAGGGACGAGGGACCCGCUCAUCACCCCGGACUGAGAGAUUGAGACACGGAGUGGGCCGAUGGCCCCGAUGCCUCCGAGGAUGUCCCCAGUGUCCCCGAUGAUGUCCCCGAUGUCCCCAACCCAGCGGACUGAGACCCAUCGUGGCCCAACGUCCCCAAUGUCCCCGAUGUCCC